This 304-nucleotide ribosomal RNA is filed under the name uncultured bacterium. RNAcentral describes it as "partial 16S ribosomal RNA". It matches the Rfam family "Bacterial small subunit ribosomal RNA", at positions 506 to 808 of the family's 1533-position model. The record is from RNAcentral.
CAGCAGCAGCCACGGGAAUGCGUAGGUGGCAAGCGUUGUCCGGAAUUAUUGGGCGUAAAGCGAGCGCAGGCGGUUAGAUAAGUCUGAAGUUAAAGGCUGUGGCUUAACCAUAGUACGCUUUGGAAACUGUUUAACUUGAGUGCAGAAGGGGAGAGUGGAAUUCCAUGUGUAGCGGUGAAAUGCGUAGAUAUAUGGAGGAACACCGGUGGCGAAAGCGGCUCUCUGGUCUGUAACUGACGCUGAGGCUCGAAAGCGUGGGGAGCGAACAGGAUUAGAUACCCCCGUAGUCCCUGUCUCUUAUACA